UCCCAACCCGCGUGCAGGCCCAGGCCC
RNAcentral lists this non-coding RNA (27 nucleotides) under Rattus norvegicus (Norway rat). The record is from RNAcentral. Lineage: Eukaryota; Metazoa; Chordata; Mammalia; Rodentia; Muridae.